AUGGCUUCCAUCACCAUACUUGUGUGUUGGACUAUUUUGAACGAAAGAAAUGCACGGAUUUUCUACAACAAGUGUGUGUCGCCGCCGAUUUUGCUACACGCCUUAAAAGAUGAAGCUCGGCUGUGGGUAACCGCAGGCGUAAAGAAAUUAGGUGUCAUCUUAUCAAGAGAGUAA
RNAcentral lists this ribosomal RNA (174 nucleotides) under Triticum aestivum (bread wheat). RNAcentral's name for it is "partial small subunit ribosomal RNA". The record is from RNAcentral. Lineage: Eukaryota; Viridiplantae; Streptophyta; Magnoliopsida; Poales; Poaceae.